GCCAGCAUCAAAGUCUUCAGACAGCAAAUUGACCAUAUCCACCUCUCUCAGAAAACCCUCUCUUCCUUCCCAAUGAACGCUACAACUUGGUGGACCGCUCCGUCUCGGUCGGCGAGGGCUUGUCUCAACAGCUUCGUCUCCAGCCGACGGCGGGAACGAGCGCGGUAGUGACAGCGACUUGCUUGUCCAGGCCUAGAGAGAAGAGCACGGUGUUGACGCUUUGCAUCACCAGGAGGAGGUUGUCGAUCAUCGUCGUGUCGUUAAAGCACUGCAGUUGAUAAUUUUGUAGCCUGAUGUCUCCACCACAGCUGGUUGGUAAGGGGGAAGGGAAGAGCAAUGGAUAUAUGGUAGCUUGUUCUCCCUCUGUGGACAUGAAUCACCAGAAUCUGUCGGACAAGGGAAGUUUCAUGUGAGUUCAAUCAAUGUAAAUUUGCAUAUUCUCAUAUAAAUUGAAUUCAGUACUGAUCAAUUAGGAACCUUUAUUCAUAAUUGCAGGAAAUUCUAAGUACAAUAGAGCAUGGUGGAAGUUCAUUGACAUAAUUGCAGAAAUCUUCAAGUCCACUAGAAUGAUUUAUCUUGUAAUUUUUUGUUUUUGAAGAAGUAAUUGAUAUCAUCAGACUGCUCUUCAUAUCUCAAUUCUUCUCAUUGCUUUUAAAGAAGUAAUUGAAAAUUUCAGUUUCAGUUGGUGAAAUUGAUAUCAUUAGACA
Long non-coding RNA from Rosa chinensis, 707 nucleotides. RefSeq lists it as uncharacterized. NCBI's taxonomy places the organism in Eukaryota, Viridiplantae, Streptophyta, Magnoliopsida, Rosales, Rosaceae. The transcript is spliced from 2 exons. The record is from RefSeq and is a predicted model, not a curated record.